UAGGGAAUCUUGCGCAAUGGGCGAAAGCCUGACGCAGCGACGCCGCGUGCGGGAUGACGGCCUUCGGGUUGUAAACCGCUUUCAGCAGGGACGAUGAUGACGGUACCUGCAGAAGAAGCCCCGGCCAACUACGUGCCAGCAGCCGCGGUAAUACGUAGGGGGCGAGCGUUGUCCGGAAUUAUUGGGCGUAAAGAGCUCGUAGGUGGUUUGGUUAGUCGGGUGUGAAAUCUCCACGCUCAACGUGGAGGGGCCACCCGAUACUGCCAUGACUAGAGUCCGGUAGAGGAGUGUGGAAUUCCCGGUGUAGCGGUGAAAUGCGCAGAGAUCGGGAGGAACACCAGUAGCGAAGGCGGCACUCUGGGCCGGUACUGACACUGAGGAGCGAAAGCGUGGGGAGCGAACAGGAUUAGAUACCCCCGUAGUCC
Molecule: ribosomal RNA, 425 nt
Filed under: uncultured bacterium
Lineage: Bacteria
Description: bacterial SSU rRNA
Rfam family: Bacterial small subunit ribosomal RNA
Source: RNAcentral